CAGCAGCCGCGGGAAUACGGAGGGUGCAAGCGUUAAUCGGAAUUACUGGGCGUAAAGCGCACGCAGGCGGUCUGACAAGUCAGAUGUGAAAUCCCCGGGCUUAACCUGGGAACUGCAUUUGAAACUGUCAGGCUGGAGUCUUGUAGAGGGGGGUGGAAUUCCAGGUGUAGCGGUGAAAUGCGUAGAGAUCUGGAGGAAUACCGAUGGCGAAGGCAGCCAUCUGGCCUAAUACUGACGCUGAGGUACGAAAGCAUGGGGAGCAAACAGGAUUAGAUACCCCGGUAGUCCCUGUCUCUUAUAC
This 301-nucleotide ribosomal RNA is filed under the name uncultured bacterium. Its description in RNAcentral is "partial 16S ribosomal RNA". It matches the Rfam family "Bacterial small subunit ribosomal RNA", at positions 509 to 807 of the family's 1533-position model. The record is from RNAcentral.